Molecule: ribosomal RNA, 1142 nt
Filed under: uncultured organism
Description: bacterial SSU rRNA
Rfam family: Bacterial small subunit ribosomal RNA
Source: RNAcentral
CCAGACUCCUACGGGAGGCAGCAGCCGGGAAUAUUCGGCAAUGGGCGAAAGCCUGACCGAGCGACACCGCGUGAGCGACGAAGGCCUUCGGGUCGUAAAGCUCUUUUAUUUGGGAAGAAUGCAUAGUAAUAUGUUUGACGGUACCAUUUGAAUAAGCCCCAGCUAACUACGUGCGAGCAGCUGCGGUAAUAACGUAGGGGGCAAGCCGUAAUCCGGAAAUCACUGUGCGUAAAGGGUCCGCAGGUGUCCCGUUAAGUUAGAUGGUAAAUCGCAAAGCUCAACCCUGCCGGCUGCAUCUAAUACUGACAGGAUAGAGGAUAGGUGACGGAAGUGGAAUUCCUGGUGGAGAGGUAAAAUCCGUAGAUAUCAGGAGGAACACCCGUGGCGUAGGCGGCUUCCGAACCUAUUCCUGACACUCAGGGACGAAAGCUAGGGGAGCAAACAGGAUUAGAUACCCUGGUAGUCCUAGCUGUAAACGAUGAAUACUAGAUAGUGGGUGCUACACCGUACUCACCGUCGUAGCUAACGCGUUAAGUAUUUCGCCUGGGAACUACGAUCGCAAGUUUGAAACUCAAAGGAAUUGACGGGUCCCCGCACAAGCAGCGAGGCAUGUGGCUUAAUUCGAUGCAACACGAAGAACCUUACCUGGACUUGACAUGUUUCUGAAAGGCCGGAGAAACCCGGUCCCUUCCAGUUUACUGGAACAGUUUCACAGGUGGUGCAUGGUUGUCGUCAGCUCGUGUCGUGAGAUGUAAGGUUAAGUCCUUAAACGAGCGUAACCUUUGUCAUUAGUUGCCACCGGUUCGGCCGAGCACUCUAAUGAGACCGCUAGCGACAAGCUCGCGGAAGAUGGAGAUGACGUCAAAUCCUCACGUCCCUUAUGUCCAGGGCCGCACACAUGCGACAAUGGUAGAGACAGCGGGUUGCGACGGGGUAACCCUGAGCUAAUCCAUAAACUCUGCCUCAGUACAGAUCGAGGGCUGAAAUUCGACCUCGUGAAGAUGGAGUUGCUAGUAAACGCAGGUCAGCUCUACCGCGUUGAAUACGUUCCCNGGGGAUUGUACACACCGCCCGUCACACCACCCGAGUCGUGUGCACCCGAAGUCGGAUACCCUAACCUUUGGAAGGGUCUGCCGAAGGUG